Molecule: ribosomal RNA, 380 nt
Filed under: uncultured soil crust cyanobacterium
Lineage: Bacteria; Bacillati; Cyanobacteriota
Description: bacterial SSU rRNA
Rfam family: Bacterial small subunit ribosomal RNA
Source: RNAcentral
CGAAAGCCUGACGGAGCAAUACCGCGUGGGGGAGGAAGGCUCUUGGGUCGUAAACCUCUUUUCUCAGGGAAGAACACAAUGACGGUACCAGAGGAAUCAGCAUCGGCUAACUCCGUGCCAGCAGCCGCGGUAAGACGGAGGAUGCAAGCGUUAUCCGGAAUGAUUGGGCGUAAAGCGUCCGCAGGUGGCAGUUCAAGUCUGCUGUCAAAGACCGGGGCUUAACUUCGGAAAGGCAGUGGAAACUGAACAGCUAGAGUAUGGUAGGGGCAGAGGGAAUUCCUGGUGUAGCGGUGAAAUGCGUAGAGAUCAGGAAGAACAUCGGUGGCGAAGGCGCUCUGCUGGACCAUAACUGACACUCAGGGACGAAAGCUAGGGGAGCG